This 116-nucleotide small nuclear RNA is filed under the name Operophtera brumata (winter moth). RNAcentral's name for it is "U4 spliceosomal RNA". It matches the Rfam family "U4 spliceosomal RNA". From Rfam's summary of the family: U4 small nuclear RNA (U4 snRNA) is a component of the major U2-dependent spliceosome. The structure of U4 snRNA from yeast and human has been reported. U4 snRNA presents a k-turn RNA motif in the 5p-SL related to recognition of Snu13 protein. The record is from Rfam by way of RNAcentral. Lineage: Eukaryota; Metazoa; Arthropoda; Insecta; Lepidoptera; Geometridae.
AACAUUGCGCAGAGGCUAUCGGGUGCGAUUAUUGCUAGUUGAAAACUUUACCAAUACCCCGCCGAGUGGACGUGAAAUACCGUCCGCUACGGCAAUUUUUGUACAGCCGUUGAGGC